RNAcentral lists this ribosomal RNA (489 nucleotides) under uncultured bacterium. RNAcentral's name for it is "partial 16S ribosomal RNA". It matches the Rfam family "Bacterial small subunit ribosomal RNA", at positions 355 to 859 of the family's 1533-position model. The record is from RNAcentral.
UGGGGAAUAUUGCACAAUGGGCGAAAGCCUGAUGCAGCAACGCCGCGUGAGUGAUGAAGGCCUUCGGGUUGUAAAGCUCUGUCUUUUGGGACGAUAAUGACGGUACCAAAGGAGGAAGCCACGGCUAACUACGUGCCAGCAGCCGCGGUAAUACGUAGGUGGCAAGCGUUGUCCGGAUUUACUGGGCGUAAAGGAUGCGUAGGCGGAUUUUUAAGUGAGAUGUGAAAUACCCGGGCUUAACUUGGGUGCUGCAUUUCAAACUGGGAAUCUAGAGUGCGGGAGAGGAGAAUGGAAUUCCUAGUGUAGCGGUGAAAUGCGUAGAGAUUAGGAAGAACACCAGUGGCGAAAGGCGAUUCUCUGGACCGUAACUGACGCUGAGGCAUGAAAGCGUGGGUAGCAAACAGGAUUAGAAUACCCUGGUAGUCCACGCCCUAAACGAUGUCAACUAAGUUGUUGGGGAUUCAUUUCCUUAGUAACGUAGCUAACGCG